This 392-nucleotide ribosomal RNA is filed under the name uncultured cyanobacterium. RNAcentral describes it as "bacterial SSU rRNA". It matches the Rfam family "Bacterial small subunit ribosomal RNA", at positions 387 to 795 of the family's 1533-position model. The record is from RNAcentral. Lineage: Bacteria; Bacillati; Cyanobacteriota.
CGGAGCAACGCCGCGUGCCCGGAGGAAGGCUCUUGGGUUGUAAACCUCUUUUCUCAAGGAAGAUAAUGACGGUACUUGAGGAAUCAGCAUCGGCUAACUCCGUGCCAGCAGCCGCGGUAAUACGGAGGAUGCAAGCGUUAUCCGGAAUAAUUGGGCGUAAAGCGUUCGUAGGUGGUUCUGUAAGUCUGCUGUUAAAGCGUGUAGCUCAACUACAUAUAGGCGGUGGAAACUACAAAACUUGAGUGCGUUCGGGGUAGAGGGAAUUCCUGGUGUAGCGGUGAAAUGCGUAGAGAUCAGGAAGAACACCGGUGGCGAAGGCGCUCUACUAGACCGCAACUGACACUGAGGGACGAAAGCUAGGGGAGCGAAUGGGAUUAGAUACCCCAGUAGUC